RNAcentral lists this ribosomal RNA (805 nucleotides) under Dorcadion sp. hybrid LF-2021. RNAcentral describes it as "partial large subunit ribosomal RNA". It matches the Rfam family "Eukaryotic large subunit ribosomal RNA", at positions 42 to 632 of the family's 3401-position model. The record is from RNAcentral. Lineage: Eukaryota; Metazoa; Arthropoda; Insecta; Coleoptera; Cerambycidae.
AUUACUAAGCGGAGGAAAAGAAACUAACUAGGAUUCCCUCAGUAGCUGCGAGCGAACAGGGAAGAGCCCAGCACCGAAUCCCGCGGCCGAUACCGGGCGCCGGGAAAUGUGGUGUUAGGGAGGAUCCGUUUAUCCCGAGGUCGUGCGGUGCGUCCAAGUCCUUCUUGAACGGGGCCACAGCCCAUAGAGGGUGCCAGGCCCGUAGCGACCGCUGCCGAUCGCGGGAGGAUCUCUCCUCAGAGUCGGGUUGCUUGAGAGUGCAGCCCUAAGUGGGUGGUAAACUCCAUCUAAGGCUAAAUAUGACCACGAGACCGAUAGCGAACAAGUACCGUGAGGGAAAGUUGAAAAGCACUUUGAAGAGAGAGUUCAAGAGUACGUGAAACCGUUCAGGGGUAAACCUGAGAAACCCGAAAGGUCGAAAGGGGAAAUUCAUUCGCGUCUCGACCGUCGGAGCGGAGCGUUCGUGCGACGGACGGCGUACGCGUCGUCCGCGCCUUUCGUUCCGCGAUCCGGCGUCGAACGCGUGCACUUUUCCCCUAGUAGGACGUCGCGAUCCGUUGGGUGUCGGUCUAAGGCUCGCGGUGGAGCCCGAGCGUGCGUCUUCGGACGUUCGCGCUCGGACCCGCGGUGUCCCGGCCGACCCGCUCGACGGUAUACAGAUGGCGCGGGGCCGCAAAUUCAAUUUGCGUUCGGCCCGCGGCAAGCGCGUACGGUGUUGACGGCGAUCGGACCCGGUGCCGAUCCCGUCCCCGGACGACUGUUGGCCGCGGUGCUCUCGAACAGACCUCGUUCUCGAAACGCCGAU